This 465-nucleotide ribosomal RNA is filed under the name uncultured Arsenophonus sp. RNAcentral describes it as "bacterial SSU rRNA". It matches the Rfam family "Bacterial small subunit ribosomal RNA", at positions 338 to 795 of the family's 1533-position model. The record is from RNAcentral. Lineage: Bacteria; Pseudomonadati; Pseudomonadota; Gammaproteobacteria; Enterobacterales; Morganellaceae.
CCUACGGGUGGCUGCAGUGGGGAAUAUUGCACAAUGGGCGCAAGCCUGAUGCAGCCAUGCCGCGUGUAUGAAGAAGGCCUUCGGGUUGUAAAGUACUUUCAGUCGUGAGGAAGGUGUUAAGGUUAAUAACCUUAGCAAUUGACGUUAGCGACAGAAGAAGCACCGGCUAACUCCGUGCCAGCAGCCGCGGUAAUACGGAGGGUGCGAGCGUUAAUCGGAAUUACUGGGCGUAAAGGGCACGCAGGCGGUUAAUUAAGUUGGAUGUGAAAUCCCCGGGCUUAACCUGGGAAUUGCAUUUGAAACUGGAAAACUAGAGUGUGUGAGAGGGGGGUAGAAUUCCAAGUGUAGCGGUGAAAUGCGUAGAGAUGUGGAGGAAUACCGGUGGCGAAGGCGGCCCCCUGGACAAAGACUGACGCUCAUGUGCGAAAGCGUGGGGGGCAAACAGGAUUAGAUACCCCAGUAGUC